Molecule: ribosomal RNA, 88 nt
Filed under: uncultured archaeon
Lineage: Archaea
Description: partial 16S ribosomal RNA
Source: RNAcentral
CUCCCUCGUUGCUGAUCUCAGGUUCGAUAAUGCCAAAUCGCACCACCUCGCCUACAACCAACUUCGAUGAAGCGACGGGCGGUGUGUG